UUACGUUGGUUUUUAAAACUUGUAGUUAGACUUUUUUUUUAGAUCGUGAUAGUAGUAGUAAGAGUUAGUUAGGAUGUUUUUGGGUUUUUUUUGUCAAGUAAUUGUUAAGUGUGAUACUUUAAAAAGAUCUACAAUGUACAUUACAACUACAAGUAAUGGUAGGCUAAUUUCAAAUCCCUUCAGAGUUCAGUUCGGGAAGUUGCUGUUUCAGUGAAAACUCUGAGCUUGAAGAUUCUUCACAAGUACUGAGAUGUCAGGCAUUAUAUUUAUAACAAUGUUGACUGAAAUUGUUUAACCCUAUAGGCAACUAAUUCUUCAGGUUGGAAACCACUGGUGUGAAGGCUGAUCAUUAAGUAGGCUCAGAACAUGAAGAUGAGGAAAGUAUUAAGUGCUUUGAAGAAAGAAGAAACUCUCCUGAAUUCUCUCUCUGCAAGAAAAUGGUUUUAACACUUCAUCCCUGAAGAUGUGCAGUGAAAGAAUUGUAGGGCUUAUCUUUUUCAGAAGGUGUUUUUAUGGAAGACUACAUUAAGUUCACUUAUGAAGAAAAACUCUUUAGUGCUUCCAAGGUGCAAUUCUCGACGUACAUGGACUGAAGAACAGAUGAAAAAAGCAGUUGAUGCUGUUAUUAUAGAAGGGAGGUCAUUUCAACAAGCAUCAGCUAUUUUUGGAGUUAAAAAAACUUCACUUCAUCAACGUGUUAAACUAUUAACAAAAGUGUUUUUUGAUGAAGAACAUCAUAUAGAUGAUUGAUAUCACAGUCAUUUAAGACUUGUAUAUGGUUCUUUAAAGACGUACUUACAUGGGAUCAAUAUGUGGUGUUAUGUAUAAAGGUGUUUUCUGAUAGCAGUUUAAAUGUUAUUCUGUUAAUUUUGCUAAAGUUAUGUUUCCAUUUUCUUUUUCUAAUUGUAUCAUUAGGAUUUAAAAGCUGAAAUAAAGAUUGAAAUUUUUUAAA
Molecule: unclassified non-coding RNA, 952 nt
Filed under: Limulus polyphemus (Atlantic horseshoe crab)
Lineage: Eukaryota; Metazoa; Arthropoda; Merostomata; Xiphosura; Limulidae
Description: zinc finger and BTB domain-containing protein 14- like, transcript variant X15
Source: RNAcentral